AGUAAUGCCUAGGAAUCUGCCUGGUAGUGGGGGACGAACGUUUCGAAAGGAACGCUAAUACCGCAUACGUCCUACGGGAGAAAGCAGGGACCUUCGGGCCUUGCGCUAUCGGAUGAGCCUAGGUCGGAUUAGCUAGUUGGUGAGGUAAUGGCUCACCAAGGCGACGAUCCGUAACUGGUCUGAGAGGAUGAUCAGUCACACUGGAACUGAGACGCGGUCCAGACUCCUACGGGAGGCAGCAGUA
RNAcentral lists this ribosomal RNA (244 nucleotides) under uncultured Pseudomonas sp. Its description in RNAcentral is "partial 16S ribosomal RNA". It matches the Rfam family "Bacterial small subunit ribosomal RNA", at positions 109 to 355 of the family's 1533-position model. The record is from RNAcentral. Lineage: Bacteria; Pseudomonadati; Pseudomonadota; Gammaproteobacteria; Pseudomonadales; Pseudomonadaceae.